Molecule: ribosomal RNA, 653 nt
Filed under: Brulleia sp. RDB-2000
Lineage: Eukaryota; Metazoa; Arthropoda; Insecta; Hymenoptera; Braconidae
Description: eukaryotic LSU rRNA
Rfam family: Eukaryotic large subunit ribosomal RNA
Source: RNAcentral
CCUGAGAAACCCGAAAGAUCGAAUGGGGAGAUUCAUCGUCAGCGCAUUUGGUAUAUGUGCAGAUUAUGAUGUAAGUUAUCCUUAUGGGAUAAUACUUGCACGUAUUUGUAUCAUUUAAUUGCCGAAUGUCUUCGGCGUGCACUUCUCCUCUAGUAGGACGUCGCGACCCGUUGGGUAUCGGUCUACGACCCAGAUGGUAGUCUUUGAUGUCACCUAUGUGUGCUAUGUUGAAGACCACUGGUGUUAUCUGGCCGAUUGCCCGGCGGUAUUCGCACGGUAUUGAGCCGCAAUAUAAUGCGUCAAACACGCCACAAGCGCGGUCAAUGUUCUGGUAGUUACGGACUUAGUGCCGUCGCUGGGCCUGACCAGCUGUUGGUUGUGCGUGAUUCUUUGACUGGCUCAUUUCAUUAUAUAUUAAUUACCGGUCGGCGACGCUAUUGCUUUGGGUACUUUCAGGACCCGUCUUGAAACACGGACCAAGGAGUCUAACAUGUACGCGAGUCAUUGGGAUUUAUUUUUUUUAAAGAAAACCUAAAGGCGUAAUGAAAGUGAAAGUUGAUCUUGCGUCAACUGAGGGAGGAUGAGUUACGUUACGAUGUAUCUCCGCACUACCCGGGGUGUCUCGUUCUUAUUAUAAGAAGAGGCGCACCUAG